GUGCCCUUUUAAGGUUGUCAAGGUACUUUAAGAGGUUAACCCAGAAGGGUAAAGGAAGUCUCCGUAAAACCCAAAGAGGAAAACUGCACCUCCUCUUUGGAUCCUGUCUGGAGUCACAAAU
Small nucleolar RNA from Rattus rattus (black rat), 121 nucleotides. RefSeq annotates it as small nucleolar RNA SNORA26. The record is from RefSeq and is a predicted model, not a curated record. NCBI's taxonomy places the organism in Eukaryota, Metazoa, Chordata, Mammalia, Rodentia, Muridae. The transcript has a single exon.